GGAUGGAUGGAUGCACUAUGCUUGGAAAAUCAAAAGUGUUUCCCUCCAAACCUCCACUGUACACGAUGUAUUUGAUUUUGCCUGAAGCUGUCAGUCAUGCGUGUGAAAUAUAUGCUGGAUUGGUUGAUCUUUCCAUUUUCCUGGUAGACGCAUAAUUCGUUCCCUGCACUUCCUCAUGAGACACACCUGGCAACCGGGCAAAUACUUGGUGAAGCAUCAAACAGAAGAUUGGCAGCAUACCAAGGAAACUACAGUACGUGCAAAGGACUCGCAUGCAUAAAAAGGACUAUCAAGGAUGGCACAAAACUGCUCAACAAGAAACCAAGUGCAAGAACUCAUUUUGUACAUCUUUCACAAAAAUCAACUCACUCAAAAUGUUAAUAAUAUUGAGGUCUAUGUUUGUCCUGUUUAUAAUUCCUAAUCUUCCAAAAAAAUUAUAGGGCUACUCAAGGGGUAUUGGACAAUAUGAGACCCAAUGUCAGCGGAACAAAGGCAUGUCUGUCAUCUAGUGGUGAGUGGUGAUAUUACAACUUGAAGCGACCACUGUCACUUUAAUUAAUCAAGAGGCCACUGACAGUGUGGCUGGCAGUUUCCCAUCUCAGCAAAGCACUUGUAUUUUCUCUUUGCUUGAAUUCAAUGAUGCAUCUCACCUUCUUCAACAAAUGUCUGGCACGCGAAUCUUUGUCAUUGAGUUUAGGAAGGGGUCCAGCAGAUGGCAAGGUGUAUUCAACAAAAGGUGGUUUUGAGUGUGGCUUAAAUGGAUGAAGCGAAGGAAAAAAUUUAAAAGGUGAAGAUACAAUCGGAUGACAUACCUUUGAUAAGAUACGGUGAUACAGCAUAAAACCUUCAAAGGACUGUGAGUGAUCUUUACAUUGAUUUCCUGGUGUGAAACACACUACACACGCUCAGGUGUGACUCACCUCAAAACGAGCACAGCCUCAAGGGCAGCACAGUCACGAACAUCAAACAAAGCAAUCACUAUCGUAAAGCUAUUUUCUGUAGAUUUGGGCAGUCGACUUGCCCGAUGACAGUUGGGACUUAAAAAACAAACUAGACAACAAACUGACGAGGGAGGGACGUGGGACAGCAAUGUCCUGUGCAAUCACCAGACAUGCUGCAAGCGUGUGACAAUAAGUCGGCGCCGUACCUACGGGUACAUAGGUGGUAAUGCUUUGAAGGAAAAAAAAAUUGUGCCACAAGUACCAACCACUUACAGUAUGUCAUACGUGCUAACCACUAGUCUACCGUUCUACCAACACAGUGAUACACACCUGAUUCCCAACCACAGUGUGGCUAUGUAUUAGUGUGCCAAGGGAAAUUGUCAAAUAUAAGUAUACGGUCGUUGAUUUCCAGAGUAGCGUGUGUCUGGAAAACUGGGUGUUCAAGCGCAGUGCGGGUGUGUCUGUGGCACAAAAUUAAACUCUAAAUUUACACCUGCUCAAAACAAGUCGAAAUAGUCUAACGUGAGUUUGGUGAAUUUAAUUUGGGGCACAGGCAAACAGAUUCUAAGCUCAGGGGGUAUGUGUGGUGGAUUCCAAAUGUAUUUCAUUCAUAAACAUUAAACCCUCUGAAUCUUUUUUAAAAAUCAUCCCACUGGGCAGCACAGUGGGUGGGCUCAUAACUGAUCUCCGACUGCACACUUGAUGAAGUACAUGUGUUUCCUCUACUGUAUGUCAAGACUAGUGCGUGAUUAGCGAAUGAAAGGAGCCACAUUGAUUGGCCAAGAUGGACGUCGGCUGUGACCACAACCACAAAGAAACAGCCCUCCCUCUCGCUGAUCCGCCGUCCUGCGCGUGUCUUUGAAAUAAUCAACACUAAGUCAUCGAGUUCGAUCAACGGUUUGUCGGAUUUACACCGUCAUCAAAAUAGAGAGCUAUUGGUCGGAAUAUUGUUUAUUUAUAAUAAAUAAUGUCUGUUUGUUCAUUUAUCAAUAAUAGUGACAGGUAGAACAAUGAAAUAUUCGUCCACCAAAUGGAAGAAGGUGCUGUGGCCAUUGAUACAAUAGAAUAAUCGAUUUGUGUUCAACUGAACAGGCUCAGAUUUCAGACAAAGUGAAUUAUUUUGCCAGUAAAUUUUUAUACACAGUAGUACCUUUAUGAUGAGGCUUGCCUUUCAAAACACUUGAACCAUGAAUCUUCCUUCCCCAUCGAAAUUAAUGGAAAUUUAAUUAAUCCGUUCCAACUCUCCACAAAACACUUCAAAUUUAUUUUUUAACAUGUUUUUUUAUUGCAUUUAGCAGUACAGUACUGUCUUAAAAAAAUAAUGUUAUGAUAUUAACUAUAUAUUGUUUGGUGGUGCCUUUGCUUCAUCAAGACUGGGAAACACUGCAUUAGUAUUGAGGAUUCCUUCACCUGACUUAUUUUUCCCUCCUUGACACACACGGGACACCGCACCAUGGGUGUGGCCCAGCCUUCGAGAAUGCAGUGUGUUUAUGUCAGGGAGGACCGUGUGAACGUUGCCUGGUUGUGUCAAACGCUGACGCAUGGCAGGAGUGUGUGACGGCUCCAUGAUCCGAGACGGAGACACACACAGCCAAGCCAUGACAAGAAUGCGUGGGAGCAGAGAAGCUGCAAGCAGGCAUGCACAUCGCCAGAAAAAAAAAGUAUAGAAAUGUACAGCACAACAUGUGACACCUUCUUACCAACUGCCGGAAUAUUUCCUAUUUUUAUCAUCAUGAUUAUUAACAAUGCCAAACAAAGUCUUUGUGACUCA
This is a long non-coding RNA of Hippocampus zosterae (dwarf seahorse), 2712 nucleotides long. RefSeq lists it as uncharacterized. The record is from RefSeq and is a predicted model, not a curated record. The transcript is spliced from 3 exons. NCBI's taxonomy places the organism in Eukaryota, Metazoa, Chordata, Actinopteri, Syngnathiformes, Syngnathidae.